CAGUAGCCACGGUAAUACAGAGGGUGCGAGCGUUAAUCGGAUUUACUGGGCGUAAAGCGUGCGUAGGCGGCUUUUUAAGUCGGAUGUGAAAUCCCUGAGCUUAACUUAGGAAUUGCAUUCGAUACUGGGAAGCUAGAGUAUGGGAGAGGAUGGUAGAAUUCCAGGUGUAGCGGUGAAAUGCGUAGAGAUCUGGAGGAAUACCGAUGGCGAAGGCAGCCAUCUGGCCUAAUACUGACGCUGAGGUACGAAAGCAUGGGGAGCAAACAGGAUUAGAUACCCGCGUAGUCCCUGUCCUUAUACA
RNAcentral lists this ribosomal RNA (301 nucleotides) under uncultured bacterium. RNAcentral's name for it is "partial 16S ribosomal RNA". It matches the Rfam family "Bacterial small subunit ribosomal RNA", at positions 509 to 809 of the family's 1533-position model. The record is from RNAcentral.